RNAcentral lists this ribosomal RNA (325 nucleotides) under uncultured eukaryote. RNAcentral describes it as "partial 18S ribosomal RNA". It matches the Rfam family "Eukaryotic small subunit ribosomal RNA", at positions 1470 to 1796 of the family's 1831-position model. The record is from RNAcentral.
CCCUUAGAUGUUCUGGGCCGCACGCGCGCUACACUGAUGCAUUCAACGAGCCUAUCCCUGCCCGACAGGUCCGGGUAAUCUUUGAAUCUGCAUCGUGACGGGGAUAGAUUAUUGCAAUUAUUAAUCUUCAACGAGGAAUGCCUAGUAGGCGCAAGUCAUCAGCUUGCGUCGAUUACGUCCCUGCCCUUUGUACACACCGCCCGUCGCUCCUACCGAUUGGGUGUGCUGGUGAAAUGUUCGGAUCGGCCGUUUGUCGCGGUUUCCGCGUCAUGUGGCUGAGAAGUUCAUUAAACCCUCCCACCUAGAGGAAGGAGAAGUCGUAACA